RNAcentral lists this ribosomal RNA (253 nucleotides) under uncultured bacterium. RNAcentral describes it as "partial 16S ribosomal RNA". It matches the Rfam family "Bacterial small subunit ribosomal RNA", at positions 524 to 776 of the family's 1533-position model. The record is from RNAcentral.
UACGUAGGCAGCGAGCGUUGUUCGGAGUUACUGGGCGUAAAGAGUGCGUAGGCGGUUUUCUAAGUUUGGUGUGAAAUCUUCCGGCUCAACUGGGAGGGUGCGCCGAAGACUGGAAGGCUUGAGUAUGGGAGAGGUAAGCGGAAUUCCUGGUGUAGCGGUGAAAUGCGUAGAUAUCAGGAGGAACACCUGCGGUGUAGACGGCUUACUGGACCAUAACUGACGCUGAGGCACGAAAGCGUGGGUAGCAAACAGG